UUAGGAAUUUUGCGCAAUGGGCGAAAGCCUGACGCAGCAACGCCGCGUGUGGGAUGAAGGCCCUCGGGUUGUAAACCACUUUUAUCGGGGAAGAAUACUGACGGUACCCGUUGAAUAAGCCCCGGCUAACUACGUGCCAGCAGCCGCGGUAACACGUAGGGGGCAAGCGUUAUCCGGAUUUACUGGGCGUAAAGAGCGCGUAGGCGGCUGCUCAAGUUGGCUGUGAAAGCCCCCGGCUCAACUGGGGAGGGUCAGCCAAUACUGGGCGGCUAUGAGGGCAGUAGAGGAAGGUGGAAUUCCCGGUGUAGUGGUGGAAUGCGUAGAUAUCGGGAGGAACACCAGUGGCGAAGGCGACCUUCUGGGCUGCUUCUGACGCUGAGGCGCGAAAGCGUGGGUAGCGAACUGA
RNAcentral lists this ribosomal RNA (406 nucleotides) under uncultured Chloroflexota bacterium. RNAcentral describes it as "bacterial SSU rRNA". It matches the Rfam family "Bacterial small subunit ribosomal RNA", at positions 355 to 776 of the family's 1533-position model. The record is from RNAcentral. Lineage: Bacteria; Bacillati; Chloroflexota.